UCCCUCAUGGCUCAGCUGGUAAAGAAUCCACCUGCAAUGUGGGAGACCUGGGUUUGAUCCCUGGUUUGGGAA
RNAcentral lists this transfer RNA (72 nucleotides) under Bos taurus (domestic cattle). It matches the Rfam family "tRNA". Rfam says of the family: Transfer RNA (tRNA) molecules are approximately 80 nucleotides in length. The record is from Rfam by way of RNAcentral. RNAcentral also lists the same sequence under 5 other names. Lineage: Eukaryota; Metazoa; Chordata; Mammalia; Artiodactyla; Bovidae.